RNAcentral lists this ribosomal RNA (581 nucleotides) under Proteus mirabilis. RNAcentral's name for it is "partial 23S ribosomal RNA". It matches the Rfam family "Bacterial large subunit ribosomal RNA", at positions 609 to 1190 of the family's 2925-position model. Lineage: Bacteria; Pseudomonadati; Pseudomonadota; Gammaproteobacteria; Enterobacterales; Morganellaceae. The record is from RNAcentral.
UGUAUAAUGGGUCAGCGACUUAUAUUCUGUAGCAAGGUUAACCGUAUAGGGGAGCCGUAGGGAAACCGAGUCUUAACUGGGCGAAUGAGUUGCAGGGUAUAGACCCGAAACCCGGUGAUCUAUCCAUGGGCAGGUUGAAGGUUGGGUAACACUAACUGGAGGACCGAACCGACUAAUGUUGAAAAAUUAGCGGAUGACUUGUGGAUGGGGGUGAAAGGCCAAUCAAACCGGGAGAUAGCUGGUUCUCCCCGAAAGCUAUUUAGGUAGCGCCUCGUGAACUCAUCUUCGGGGGUAGAGCACUGUUUCGACUAGGGGGUCAUCCCGACUUACCAACUCGAUGCAAACUGCGAAUACCGAAGAAUGUUAUCACGGGAGACACACGGCGGGUGCUAACGUCCGUCGUGAAGAGGGAAACAACCCAGACCGCCAGCUAAGGUCCCAAAGUCAUGGUUAAGUGGGAAACGAAGUGGGAAGGCUCAGACAGCCAGGAUGUUGGCUUAGAAGCAGCCAUCAUUUAAAGAAAGCGUAAUAGCUCACUGGUCGAGUCGGCCCGCGCGGAAGAUGUAACGGGGCUAAACCAU